CGGAGAGACAGGUGGUGCAUGGUUGUCGUCAGCUCGUGUCGUGAGAUGUUGGGUUAAGUCCCGCAACGAGCGCAACCCUUAUCCCCAGUUGCCAGCGAGAGAGUCGGGGACUCUGGGGAGACUGCCCGGGACGACCGGGAGGAAGGCGGGGAUGACGUCAAAUCAUCAUGCCCCUUAUGUCUUGGGCUACACACGUGCUACAAUGGGCGGUACAAACCGAAGCGAAGCCGUGAGGUGGAGCGAACCGGAGAAAGCCGCUCACAGUUCGGAUUGCUCUCUGCAACUCGAGAGCAUGAAGGCGGAAUCGCUAGUAAUCGCGGGUCAGCAUACCGCGGUGAAUACGUUCCCGGGCCUUGUACACACCGCCCGUCACACCACGAAAGUUGGCAACACCCGAAGUCGGCGAGCUAACCGCAAGGAGGCAGCCGCCGAAGGUGGGGUCGAUGAUUGGGGUGAAGUCGUAACAAGGUAGCCGUAUCGGAAGGUGCGGCUGGAUCACCUCCUUUCUAUGGAG
Molecule: ribosomal RNA, 514 nt
Filed under: Heliomicrobium gestii
Lineage: Bacteria; Bacillati; Bacillota; Clostridia; Eubacteriales; Heliobacteriaceae
Description: bacterial SSU rRNA
Rfam family: Bacterial small subunit ribosomal RNA
Source: RNAcentral